RNAcentral lists this ribosomal RNA (532 nucleotides) under uncultured bacterium. Its description in RNAcentral is "bacterial SSU rRNA". It matches the Rfam family "Bacterial small subunit ribosomal RNA", at positions 66 to 589 of the family's 1533-position model. The record is from RNAcentral.
GCGGUAGCACAGAGAGCUUGCUCUCGGGUGACGAGCGGCGGACGGGUGAGUAAUGUCUGGGAAACUGCCUGAUGGAGGGGGAUAACUACUGGAAACGGUAGCUAAUACCGCAUAAUGUCGCAAGACCAAAGUGGGGGACCUUCGGGCCUCAUGCCAUCAGAUGUGCCCAGAUGGGAUUAGCUUGUUGGUGGGGUAACGGCUCACCAAGGCGACGAUCCCUAGCUGGUCUGAGAGGAUGACCAGCCACACUGGAACUGAGACACGGUCCAGACUCCUACGGGAGGCAGCAGUGGGGAAUAUUGCACAAUGGGCGCAAGCCUGAUGCAGCCAUGCCGCGUGUAUGAAGAAGGCCUUCGGGUUGUAAAGUACUUUCAGCGGGGAGGAAGGGAGUAAAGUUAAUACCUUUGCUCAUUGACGUUACCCGCAAAAGAAGCACCGGCUAACUCCGUGCCAGCAGCCGCGGUAAUACGGAGGGUGCAAGCGUUAAUCAGAAUUACUGGGCGUAAAGCGCACGCAGGCUGUUUGUUAAGUC